This 329-nucleotide ribosomal RNA is filed under the name uncultured eukaryote. RNAcentral describes it as "partial 18S ribosomal RNA". It matches the Rfam family "Eukaryotic small subunit ribosomal RNA", at positions 1470 to 1796 of the family's 1831-position model. The record is from RNAcentral.
CCCUUAGAUGUCCUGGGCCGCACGCGCGCUACACUGAUGCAUGCAACGAGUUUAUAACCUUGGCCUGAAAGGUCUGGGUAAUCUUUUGAACGUGCAUCGUGAUAGGGAUAGAUUAUUGCAAAUAUUAAUCUUGAACGAGGAAUUCCUAGUAAGCGCAAGUCAACAGCUUGCGUUGAUUACGUCCCUGCCCUUUGUACACACCGCCCGUCGCUACUACUGAUUGGAUGUUUAAGCGAGGUUCUCGAACUGCUAGCGACUUAGCUUCGGUGAGGUCGCAGUGUGGGAAGUGAACCUAGCUUUGGUGUCUAGAGGAAGUAAAAGUCGUAACA